UGCCCAAUGAUAAAUUAUUUAAUGGCCGCAGUAUUUUGACUGUGCAAAGGUAGCAUAAUCAUUUGUCUUUUAAUUGAAGGCUAGUAUGAAAGGUUGGAUGAGAAGUUUACUUUCUUUAUAUUAAUGUGUUGAAUUUAAUUUUUUAGUUAAAAAGCUAAAAUGUUUAAAAGGGACGAGAAGACCCUAUAGAAUUUUAUUAAUAUGUUAUAUUUUUAUUUUAUGGUAUUUUUAUUAUUUAUAUAUUGUUUAAUUUUGUUGGGGCGAUGGGAAGAUUUAUUUASCUCUUCUAUUUUAUAGUUUAYUAAUUGGUAUGUUUUAUGAUCCUCUUUUAUGGAAARUUAGAUUAAWUUUCSUYSGGSAUWWCAGCGUGAYUUUCWUGGARAGUUCUUAUUGAUAAAGGAGUCUGCGAC
RNAcentral lists this ribosomal RNA (410 nucleotides) under Dinocoris gibbus. Its description in RNAcentral is "partial large subunit ribosomal RNA". The record is from RNAcentral. Lineage: Eukaryota; Metazoa; Arthropoda; Insecta; Hemiptera; Pentatomidae.